GGAAUUUUGCGCAAUGGGGGAAACCCUGACGCAGCAACGCCGCGUGACCGAUGAAGCCCUUCGGGGUGUAAAGGUCUGUCAGUGGGGACGAAACUUGACGGUACCCACAGAGGAAGCAUCGGCUAACUCCGUGCCAGCAGCCGCGGUAAUACGGGGGAUGCAAGCGUUGUCCGGAAUCAUUGGGCGUAAAGAGUUCGUAGGUGGUUUGUUAAGUUUGGUGUUAAAUUCCGAGGCUCAACUUCGGUAUGGCACUGGAUACUGGCAGACUUGAAUGCGGUAGAGGUAAAGGGAAUUCCUGGUGUAGCGGUGAAAUGCGUAGAUAUCAGGAGGAACAUCGGUGGCGUAAGCGCUUUACUGGGCCGUAAUUGACACUGAGGAACGAAAGCCGGGGUAGCAAAUG
Molecule: ribosomal RNA, 400 nt
Filed under: uncultured bacterium
Lineage: Bacteria
Description: bacterial SSU rRNA
Rfam family: Bacterial small subunit ribosomal RNA
Source: RNAcentral